Molecule: ribosomal RNA, 443 nt
Filed under: uncultured bacterium
Lineage: Bacteria
Description: partial 16S ribosomal RNA
Rfam family: Bacterial small subunit ribosomal RNA
Source: RNAcentral
CCUACGGGGGGCAGCAGUGGGGAAUAUUGGGCAAUGGAGGAAACUCUGACCCAGCAACGCCGCGUGAAUGAUGAAGGUCUUCGGAUUGUAAAGUUCUUUUCUAAGGGAAGAAGAAAGUGACGGUACCUUAGGAAUAAGCCUCGGCUAACUACGUGCCAGCAGCCGCGGUAAUACGUAGGAGGCAAGCGUUAUCCGGAAUGACUGGGGAGAAGGGGGGCGUAGGUGGUUUGAGAAAUUGGUAGCGUAACUCCCAGGCUCAACCUCGGAACUACUACGAAAACUGUCGGACUUGAGUGCAGGAGGGGCAACUGGACUUCCUGGUGUAGCGGUGGAAUGCGUAGAUAUUAGGAGGAACACCAGUGGCGAAGGCGAGUUGCUGGACUGUAACUGACACUGAGGCACGAAAGCGUGGGGAGCAAACAGGAUUAGAUACCCUUGUAGUC